AUGGCCACCAUCCUGGAGACCAUCCAGAAGGCGAGGCUCCUGCCGCCCAGGCCGCCUCAAGGACGAGCUGCCAACCUUCGGCGGCGGCGGCAGAGAGGAGAGCCACCCUCACGGGCCUGCGGAAGCGGCUGUCCGCCUUCUCCGGCAAGAUCCAGCCCAUCUCCUCCGCGUCGGCCGAGUGGGCGUUUCCGCCGGCGCUCCCGGCCGGCGCCCCUCCCUCUCCGCGGGAGGCGGCUCCCUGAGGCAAGUGGUGGCGGCGGGGCGUCGUCGGCUGGCUUCUGUCCCGGAAGCCGGGGUUCGCGGGCGACCUCGAGAUGAACGAGGACGAGGGCCGCCACGGCGGCAGGGGCACCUGGGGCUGGGGCCACGUCCUUUACAGGGUGCGCUCCGGCGUCCGCCGCCUCGUCGUGUCCGCGCACUCGCUCCCCACCACGCAGAGUCAGUCCCUGCCGCCGCCGGCGCACUGCAAGCCGGCGGCGCUCGCCCACGCGCAGAGGCUGGGCUUCCACCACGCCGGCCACGCCAUGGCGCACUAAGGAGGGUCGCCGGUCGCGCCGCGCCGCGCUGCGCUUGCCGGUGCUGUUUGCGGCCGAUCUCCCUCCAGAUUCGGAAACGGAGAAGCGGGCGAGAGGCACGAGAAGAGGAGGAUUCAGGUUGCAGGUAGGUGCGUGAGAUCGGUGGCGAAGAAAUCGCUGUACCGUUAUAAGUGAAAACUAGCUCGGUGAAUCGAUGGUGAAUGGAAUGGAAUGGAAGGUUUACCAUCCUGUGCUGUAGAGGUCAACUGGUCAAGUGUUGUAUCAUAUGCUCGUUCUUUAUAUUCUUUUUGGGUUUAUUGGACGAUGAAAACGUACAAUUUUGGUUGAAUCUGUACUUUUUUUUAAUUUUUUUUCCUCCAGCAGUAAAUAAAACUAACGCAAAUUGUGCUCCCC
Molecule: RNA transcript, 929 nt
Organism: Zea mays
Lineage: Eukaryota; Viridiplantae; Streptophyta; Magnoliopsida; Poales; Poaceae
Exons: 1
Source: RefSeq, a predicted model, not a curated record